UAACUUGUGUGUAAGUGUAUGGAUCUUUAUGAAAUUGUACCACAAGGUUCCAUAUCACAAAGGGAAAGCUGGAAUUGAGUUUGGGGGUAAUUGCACAAAACGUUUAGGAAUAAGGGGCCAAAAAUAAGCAUUUUUCUAGUUUCCAGACAAUAACUUGUGUUCAAGUGUAUGGGUCUCUCUGAAAUUGUACUGCAAGGUACCAUACCACAAAGGGAAGGCUGGGAUUGACUUUGGGGGUAAUUGCCCAAAAGGUUUAGGAAUAAGGGGCCAAAAAUAAGCAUUUUUCUAGUUUCAGGACAAUAACUUGUGUGUAAGUGUAUGGAUCUUUAUGAAAUUGUACCACAAGGUUCCAUAUCACAAAGGGAAUGCUGGGAUUGAUUUUGGGGGUAAUUGCCUCAAAAUUUUAGGAAUUAGGGGCCAAAAAAGGGGCAAAAAACAGGCAUUUUUCUAGUUUAAUGACAAUAACUUGUGUGUAAGUGUAUGGAUCUUUCUGAAAUUGUACUACAAGGUUCCAUAUCACAAAGGGAAAGCUGGAAUUGAGUUUGGGGGUAAUUGCCCAAAACGUUUAGGAAUAAGGGGCCAAAAAUAAGCAUUUUUCUAGUUUCCAGACAAUAACUUGUGUUCAAGUGUAUGGAUCUGUCUGAAAUUGUACUGCAAGGUACCAUACCACAAAGGGAAGGCUGGGAUUGACUUUGGGGGUAAUUGACUCAAAAUUUUAGGAAUUAGGGGCAAAAAAACAAGCAUUUUUCUAGUUUCAGGACAAUAACUUGUGUGUAAGUGUAUGGAUCUUUAUGAAAUUGCACUACAAG
Molecule: long non-coding RNA, 809 nt
Organism: Mytilus californianus (California mussel)
Lineage: Eukaryota; Metazoa; Mollusca; Bivalvia; Mytilida; Mytilidae
Exons: 4
Source: RefSeq, a predicted model, not a curated record